UACAGAGGUCUCAAGCGUUGUUCGGAUUCAUUGGGCGUAAAGGGUGCGUAGGCGGCGCGGUAAGUCGGGUGUGAAAUUUCGAGGCUUAACUUCGAAACUGCAUUCGAUACUGCCGUGCUUGAGGACUGGAGAGGAGACUGGAAUUUACGGUGUAGCGGUGAAAUGCGUAGAUAUCGUAAGGAAGACCAGUGGCGAAGGCGGGUCUCUGGACAGUUCCUGACGCUGAGGAGCGAAGGCGUGGGGAGCGAACGGG
RNAcentral lists this ribosomal RNA (253 nucleotides) under uncultured bacterium. RNAcentral's name for it is "partial 16S ribosomal RNA". It matches the Rfam family "Bacterial small subunit ribosomal RNA", at positions 524 to 776 of the family's 1533-position model. The record is from RNAcentral.